RNAcentral lists this ribosomal RNA (130 nucleotides) under uncultured methane-oxidizing archaeon. Its description in RNAcentral is "16S ribosomal RNA". The record is from RNAcentral.
AGCGACGUAGUACGUAGCGAACCGAUAGGGACUCUGAGUGCCUCCUAAGGAGGCUGUUCAGAUGUUUAAAAAGCAUCUGGAGGAAGGGCUGGGUAAGACCGGUGCCAGCAGCCGCGGUAAUUGAUAUAUA